GAGUGCAGUGGUGCCAUCUUGGCUCACUGCAACCUCCGCCUCCCAGGUUCAAGCAAUUCUCAUGCCUCAGCCUCCUGAGUAGCUGGGAUUACAGGUGUGUGCCAAAACAUCUGGCUAAUUUUUUUUUUUUUUUUUUGGUAGAGACGGGGUUUCGCCAUGUUGGCCAGGCUGGUCUUGAACUCCUGGCCUCAAGUGAUCUGCCUGCUUCGACCUCUGAAAGUGUUGGGAUUACAGGCAUGAACCACCACGCCUGGCCUGUCAUCCCUUCAAAUGUUCUUUCAGAACUGAGGCAUGCAGAGGCUGGAAGACAGGCUGGGCUCACCCGGGUGGUUAUCUCUGAGAGAGGACAUGGGUGAGGUCAGAGGCCUCUCCCUGGAGGAGGUAGGUGGAGAAGCCAGGUGGCAUCCAGAUAAGGAAGACCAGCAUCUCCUUGAGAGUGUACACGGGAGCACGGGAUGGGGAGGGAGGCUGAGUGCUCCUUACAGGCCCACCCUGUUCCCUCCAGGUGUUAGCUGCUGUUGUCCUGGGUCUUCAGUGUUGACCAUCGCAUGGCAUUUGGGCAGCUGGUUCUGCUGGGUUACGGUCCUCAUGUCCCUGGCACAGACACAGCCAUUGCCUGCUGGCACUUGAUACCUACUCAUAUUCCAUUUCUCUAUUCCAAACACACUGGAUUGCAUGGCCCAGGGCGCCACGGUGUGCACCAUUGUCUGGCCCACACUCACCUAGAAUACAUAUCAGGAUCUCCUACCCACUCCUUAGGUACAAGAAGAAGAAGGGGUUCUGGCCGGGCAUGGUGGCUCACACCUGUAAUCCCAGCACUUUGAGAGGCCGAGGUGGGUGGGUCACAAGGUCAGGAGAUCGAGACCAUCCUGGCUAACACGGUGAAACCCCGUCUCUACUAAAAAACACACACAAAAAAAUUAGCUGGGCGUGGUGGCAGGCACCUGUAGUCCCAGCUACUCGGGAGGCUGAGGCAGGAGAAUGGCGUGAACCUGGGAGGCGGAGCUUGCAGUGAGCCGAGAUCGCGCCAUUGCACUCCAGCCUGGGCGACAGAGCAAGACUAUGUCUCAAAAAAAAAAAAAAAAAAAGGGUGGGGUUCUGGCCUUAAUCUGCCUCCAGCUCAGUUAUAAGGUGGCUUAUCUAAAGGCUUGGGAGGUGGGGCACCCAGCCCUACCCACCCAUCCAGGAAGUUCCACACCUGGACAACUUUCAAUUUCAUUAUUUUAGCUUCCUGAGAUUCAGAGGCCAGGAACUGUGCAGAGAUCUGUGGGGAUUCUCACAACUUCCAUUUCUGGUGAACAGCUGAGGUCAGAGAGGAGGUGGGUACCACUUGAGAUGGGCCUGUGGUUCCCGGGUACUGUCUUUCCAGACACCUAGAAUUCCCAGGUUGGUAGUGAACUGAGAGUCAACCACCAUGAUGGGGGCAGAGACAGAGGAGGAAGCAGUGAGUGGACAAGUGCCUGUGCCGGGCAGAAGGGAUAUAGGGGAAGGUGGCCAAAGGUAGGAUGGGGAAGUGGAUCCCAGGAAGCUUUUGUUUCUUCUGAGGCCAAUUUACCACCACCUCAUUGGGAAAUUGUUGGUAGGGAGGCACCCAUCCAAUUGCCUUGCAGAAUACAGCAAGGCAGGGAGCCCAAGAAUCAGAGCCAAGGGAAGAAACGACCAGUUAAAGUUAGUAAUGUGAAGUCUGGCAACCGUGCCCGUCAUUCCUCCCUGGUUCCUCUGUUCAUCAACGUUGGGGCUAGUCUGGCUGGGGCAUGGUGGGCCUGCCUUUCCAUCCCUUGGGCCCCUUGGAACAAGGGGGCAACUCUGCUGUGGGAGAUGUAGAAAAUGGGUCUCACUUUCUCUAUUUGGGGCAAUAGCUGCUACUUUUUUCCUCCAGAUGGGUACCAUGAGGGGCAGAGGAGAAUCUGGGAUCUGUGAUGUUUAGCCCUCUUUACUGAGUCAUGGCUGCCUCACGUUCUAGAAGUAAGGCAGGCAAAUCAUUCCAGGUACUGAUUGUCCUGGAACCUUUGGCUCUUCCUUGACCUCAUGUCACGUGCGUCCAUGUGAAGAGAGUCCACGAAACGGGCUUUAUGUGAACAACAAGGCUGGGUACAGGCAAGCUGAGUCCAAAAAAGGGGUCAGCAAAGGGUGGUGGGAUUAUCAUUAGUUCUUAUAUGUUUGGGAUAGGCUUACAAAGUACAUUGUCAAGGGUGGAGAAAUAUUACAAAGUACCUUCUUAAGGGCAGGGGAGAAUAUUACAAAGUACCUUCUUAAGGGCGGGGGGAGACUAUAUCGUAUCAGUUAGGGUGGGGCAGGAACAAAUCACAAUGGUGGAAUGUCAUCAGUUAAGGCUAUUUUCAUUUCUUUUGUGGAUCUUCAGUUGCUUCAGGCCAUCUGGAUAUAUACAUGCAGGUCACAGGGAAUAUGAUGGCUUAGCUUGGGUUCAGAGGCCUGACACCUCAGGCUGCCAAAUGUGGAAGAUUUAAAUACUUGAACCAAUACCCUCCUCCCAAAAACUGAAAUUGGCUUCUGUUUCUGAGUUGGUCCAGGCGCAAUGUUCAGCGUAUUUGAGGAAAUCACAAGAAUUGUAGUUAAGGAGAUGGAUGCUGGAGGGGAUAUGAUUGCCGUUAGAAGCCUUGUUGAUGCUGAUAGAUUCCGCUGCUUCCAUCUGGUGGGGGAGAAGAGAACUUUCUUUGGAUGCCGGCACUACACAACAGGCCUCACCCUGAUGGACAUUCUGGACACAGAUGGGGACAAGUGGUUAGAUGAACUGGAUUCUGGGCUCCAAGGUCAAAAGGCUGAGUUUCAAAUUCUGGAUAAUGUAGACUCAACGGGAGAGUUGAUAGUGAGAUUACCCAAAGAAAUAACAAUUUCAGGCAGUUUCCAGGGCUUCCACCAUCAGAAGAUCAAGAUAUCGGAGAACCGGAUAUCCCAGCAGUAUCUGGCUACCCUUGAAAACAGGAAGCUGAAGAGGGAACUACCCUUUUCAUUCCGAUCAAUUAAUACGAGAGAAAACCUGUAUCUGGUGACAGAAACUCUGGAGACGGUAAAGGAGGAAACCCUGAAAAGCGACCGGCAAUAUAAAUUUUGGAGCCAGAUCUCUCAGGGCCAUCUCAGCUAUAAACACAAGGGCCAAAGGGAAGUGACCAUCCCCCCAAAUCGGGUCCUGAGCUAUCGAGUAAAGCAGCUUGUCUUCCCCAACAAGGAGACGAUGAAGAAGGAUGGUGCUUCAUCCUGUUUAGGUAAGGGUGAUAGCCAAGUGUGUUCAGGGUGGCUGCACCAACCCACCCUGAGUCCCUGUGGCUCAAGACUGCUGCUCAGGUGGGGUCAGCUGAGUGGGUAGGAAGUCGGGAGGCACUGCCUAGCAGGUUUCAACUUUAGUCUGGAGGCUGCAUCUGUCUCCUCUAAACACAGUGGUUCUCAUUGGUUAUACCCCGAAAUCACACCAGGAAACUUUAAAACUAGUGACGACUGAGUCCUGUCUCCAGAAACUCUGACUUAAUUGUGGGGGUGUGGCCUGGACAUCAGGAUUUGUAAUAACUCCUCAGGUGAUUCUCAUGUAGUCAAGGUUGAGAACCACUGCUUUAACUUUCUCCAAAUCCUAAUUACUUCUAGUGUGGCCUGAGGACUGCACUUUGAAUGGCAAGGGCCAAAUAACCAAGUUUUUGUUUUUUUCCAGGAGGUGGAGAAGAAUUUGGGGUUGGGACUAGACUGGGGGUGAGCUGGGGAGAUGGAAGAUGGAAGUGGGGUCAGUGGGAGGCAAUGAUGGUAGGUAUCUUGGAAGAAGGAUGCUUAAUUUUAACACGGAAAGACUGGAAGAAGGGAAGAUACAAAGAGGUGGUCUCCAGAAGACAGUCAGACAAAUAACAGAGCCUUAGAAAUAAAACCUUUUGGGCUGGGCGGCCCAGGUUCUCAAUUGCUGCCUCUACAGGAAAGUCUUUGGGUUCGGAGGAUUCCAGAAACAUGAAGGAGAAGUUGGAGGACAUGGAGAGUGUCCUCAAGGACCUGACAGAGGAGAAGAGAAAAGAUGUGCUAAACUCCCUCGCUAAGUGCCUCGGCAAGGAGGAGAUUCGCCAGGAUCUAGAGCAAAGAGUAUCUGAGGUCCUGAUUUCCAGGGAGCUACACAUGGAGGACCCAGACAAGCCUCUCCUAAGCAGCCUUUUUAAUGCUGCUGGGGUCUUGGUAGAAGUGCGUGCAAAAGCCAUUCUGGACUUCCUGGAUGCCCUGCUAGAGCUGUCUGAAGAGCAGCAGUUUGUGGCUGAGGCCCUGGAGAAGGGGACCCUUCCUCUGUUGAAGGACCAGGUGAAAUCUGUCAUGGAGCAGAACUGGGAUGAGCUGGCCAGCAGUCCUCCUGACAUGGACUGUGACCCUGAGGCACGAAUUCUCUGUGCGCUGUAUGUUGUUGUCUCUGUCCUGCUGGAGCUGGCUGAGGGGCCUACCUCUGUCUCUUCCUAACUACAAAAGCCCUUUCUCCCCACAAGCCUCUGGGUUUUCCCUUUACCAGUCUGUCCUCACUGCCAUCGCCACUACCAUCCUGUCACCAGUGGGACCUCUUUAAAACAAGCAGCCAACCAUUCUUUGAUGUAUCCCAUUCGCUCCAUGUUAACAUCCAAAACCAGCCUGGAUUUCAUACAUGGACUUCUGAUUAAAAGUGGCAGGUUGUGCAUGUUA
Molecule: small RNA, 4653 nt
Filed under: Pan troglodytes (chimpanzee)
Lineage: Eukaryota; Metazoa; Chordata; Mammalia; Primates; Hominidae
Description: retained intron
Source: RNAcentral